RNAcentral lists this ribosomal RNA (480 nucleotides) under uncultured bacterium. Its description in RNAcentral is "partial 16S ribosomal RNA". It matches the Rfam family "Bacterial small subunit ribosomal RNA", at positions 28 to 523 of the family's 1533-position model. The record is from RNAcentral.
GACGAACGCUGGCGGCGUGCUUAACACAUGCAAGUCGAGCGAGCAGAUUCCCUUCGGGGAUGAAGCUAGCGGCGGACGGGUGAGUAACACGUGGGCAACCUGCCUUAUAGAGGGGGAUAGCCUUCCGAAAGGAAGAUUAAUACCGCAUAACAUCAGAUUAUCGCAUGGUAGACUGAUCAAAGGAGCAAUCCGCUAUAAGAUGGGCCCGCGUCGCAUUAGCUAGUUGGUGAGGUAACGGCUCACCAAGGCGACGAUGCGUAGCCGACCUGAGAGGGUGAUCGGCCACAUUGGGACUGAGACACGGCCCAGACUCCUACGGGAGGCAGCAGUGGGGAAUAUUGCACAAUGGGGGAAACCCUGAUGCAGCAACGCCGCGUGAGUGAUGAAGGCCUUCGGGUUGUAAAGCUCUUUGAUCAGGGACGAUAAUGACGGUACCUGAAGAACAAGCCACGGCUAACUACGUGCCAGCAGCCGCCGUAA